Molecule: non-coding RNA, 130 nt
Filed under: unclassified sequences
Source: RNAcentral
AUACUGAAUCAUGUUGGGGAAUCAAGGUGCAAUUCCAUGGCUCUACCAGGAACCGUAAAGUCGGAGUGCCAACCAGUAUAAGUCCGCUGUCGAGCGAGGGCCUGGGAAAGUCUAGUUCUACAAUGUAAAG